AGCUUGGGACGUUUCAGAUUGCAGAAUAAGCUCUGUCUGCCUCUGCAGGGACACUUUCAUCAGGUUUCUCAUUGCUGUGCCCAGCCCAUACCCAGAUGCAGAGGGUUAGCCUUGCCACCCUCUGGAGCUGUGUGUAGGCAGCAGAGCGGCCUUUACGGUGCCUUUGUACCAAGACCGCCUUACUGAGCUUCGUGUAGGCCCUGAUCUCAACAUGCAGGGAGAUCUCCGUGUUCUGUGGAGGAAGUAGCUGGAACAACCAAAAUACAGUUGCUCAGCAUGGAUCUUAGGAAGAUGAGGGGACUUCUGGCCUUCAGGCAUUGGAGUUUCUAUGGCAAGGGGAUGAUCCAGUUCUUCAACUGAGUGUAUACAACUUGGAUAUCAUCCAGUCUGACCUCUCCCAGGUUCCAUCUGGGUGUUUGAACAGUUAGAUUAUCUUUGGCAGCUAGGAAUGUAUUUUUUAUUUUUUAUUCCAAAGUGAAUAUUGAUGUUCAGCAGGUUAUCAAAACACAAGCUUAUAUUGCUGCAAAGAAUCCACUGCUGUAUUCUUUCCAGAGUGAAGUCUUGAAUUGCUUCUCAUCUUGGGGAACAGAACAGUAAAUAAUGUGGGGGACAGAUUCAAAUACAGUCUUGCAGUGAGCAGGUCUGUAAAUACAGAUGUUUUAGGAAAGAAUCUUUAUGAAGGAUCUGUUAUGCACAGGCUUCCCAGACGUUGCAAUGGGUUGCACCUUUAAGAUGUUGUGCAGCUCAUGUCCUUAAUAGAAGUGCCACUUUUCUUGUAAGGAUUAAAUCUUCUUACCCAAACACAAACUUUCUUCCCACAGUCUUCUCUUCGCAGGUGUGUGCGGUGUCUGUGCCAUUCAGGUCUCCUACUCAGAGUAGUAUUUACUGGCUCCAGGUUAGACUUCAUUCCUGGUUCUGUCCAUCUCCUGCCAUUGUCUUUUUCCUUCCAAGGUGCUCAUGCAAGGAAGCUGGCUGACACUGAGUUUCUUAAACUGUUAAGAGAGGUGCAGUUGCAGGCCUUGGUGUAGCACAUAAACGUGGGACCCAACCAUAGUAAAGGGUUUGCUGGACUGAGCACAUCCCAUUUCCCUGUCAUGACAUAUACUGUGUGCCAUAUCGACAAGCAUUUGGUUUUAGCAUAGGUAAUCACUGAUAUAUUCUUCUAAGUGAGAUUCAUUGAUGCUGAUUGCAUUUACUGCAUAAAUUACUUCAUUAUUAAAAUCAGGUCAUUUGAGCCCCAAAACCAUUAGCAUGCAAACUAUUAGCAUAAUUUCAUAAGCUAAUAAAUCAAGCGCAGGAAAAGAAUUAAGUGGUUCCUAGUGAUAAGUGUUUCUUCAGAGAUUAAGAAACACAAUUUUCUUAUGCAUAUAUUAACAUUUUAAAAGUGAAUUCAUGCAAAAGCAAUUUUUUCUGCAUAUAUAAAACUGAUGUUUAAUAAUCUUUAUACUCAGCCUCCAGAGCUCCUUCAAAAUUAAUGUUUUUCUCAAAUCACUGUACAGUAAUUUGGAGUUGAACCAGCUAGUCUGUUUUGAUAUACUCUACCUGUAAAAUUCUUCAUGCUUUUAUUAAAUAGACAAAGUUAGGAAAUAAAACAAGCCAAGAUAUGAUUUAGAAGAAAAAUAGCUUGGAUUCAUCCUAGAUAAUGAAAUGUUCAUCCAAGGUAAACUUAGUAUUCUUAAUCCUAAGCAGUACCAAAUGAAAGUGUAAUUAUCUCCAUAACUGCAAUCUAGAACUACAGUUGUAGUCUUAUUAGAAUGAUGCAUUAAAAUUGAUUUAAUUUCCAUUUCUUAUGUAAUAGAAUGUAAUAUUGGCCAGAAUAACACAAAGAGAUGGGCUCUUCUAUUCACUUCACUGACUAGAUUCAAACUAAUAUCGCAAUACAACUGUAAUUAUUUGGAUACACAAAAGUUGCAUGGAAAUAAAGCAAAUUCCAAAGUAAGUGAAACUGUAAUAAUCAGCAGAUGACACUGCGUAGGAAUUUUGUGUUACAAGGUGUCCAUGAUUUAUGUAUAUUUAGUUGGUUUUGUUUUCCAUCUCCUAGCCUACUGUUUUGGGUUGUUUGGUAUAGUUUUUUUUUCAAUAUGAGCCCCUCAAUGAUAUGUUCCGAGGAAUAAGAGAAUGUGGUGUUUUCAGUAUGGCACUCACCAUACUGAGUAUUUUGGAUCUUCUGGUUUGUAAAACAGUAACAUAACCUUAAUAUUUUCUAACCCACAUGCUGGGGGGAAAAAAAUGCUCAGUAGUUGCUUGUGUUUGCUGCUGUUUAAUGACAAGCUUGACUAAGACAACACUGCACUGAGAACUACCUCUUUGAGGUGUGUUGCUGCCCAUCUCCCUGCACCAGUUCACCAUGAGGCCAGACACGGACCACAGCUAGCACAAGGGAGAUUACAUGCAAGAGGAGAAGUGCAAGGACACUUCUUUCAUGGCAGCUGGUUAUUUUAUCAGCUUUACUACAACUUGAAGCCACAGCCUCAGACACAGUAGAACCAGUGCUGUCCCAAGCGCAGCAUUAGCGGUUUCCUGUGAGCAGAGAUGGUGGGACAGUCACCAGGCAGCCUGCGUGGAAGAGGAGGCCAAAAGAAACAUUAAGUCUGUGAAGAGGAAGGUUCCUGCAGGCAGAGAUCUGUGCACUGCCCCCAGGCUCCUGCUCUGAAUGUGCCUUGGAGGACUUUCUCCACUUACUGGAAAGAAAAUGUGAUCUGCAGUUCAAGGUUCUUCCUCAAGAAAUAAUUCUAAGAAGAUUUAAUAAAAUUGGAAGAAAUUACUAAGGAUGGGUAAACCUUACACAGAAGAGUUGGCAUUUUUGCGUUACACCAAAUAAGGGAGCCCACAGGGAGUCUGUGAAGUUUUUAUAAGAGGCCUGUGAAAAUUUACCUGUGAAAAUUCAGGGAGUUUUGAUUUGCUUUGUAAAGCUCUGCUCUUCUGCUGGGACAAAAGAAAAAAAAGAAAAGAAAACUAGGAGCCUGCAAAAAAAGUAUAUGUUUAUGCUGUAAAUGACUGCAUGCUAACACCUCUGUAGUCAGUUCAGGAAAGGGAUCUUUUCACAAGGUGGGAAACAGUCCAAAUUCAGCCCUAAUUCAGUCCCUUAUGGUAUACAGAACUUGGUAGAAGGAAAUAAAGGAGAACUGCAUCAGCACCCCAGGAAAAAAAAAAAAAAGAGGUAUUGUUCUCCUUUCCCUUUACAUCUGUUCCCUAGCCUUUAAUCAUCCAUUAUCAGCUAUAGUUCUGCUAUGAUUAUUAUCAGAUAUCUAUUUCAGUGAGUAUAGCGUAAUGGUAAUGAAUAAUCUGGAUCUAUUGUUUAAGCAACUGUUAAUGAUUCUACUCAAUGUCUAAAUGAAAACAAAAUUUUUUCUGUUCCUUCAAGCAGGAUUAUUUAUUUUAUAUAUGUUAUAGAUAAAUGUUUACAGAUUAAUCCUUUUUAAAAAUGGGAAACUUUUGCAUGUUUGUGUACCUCUCUGAUAUAAUAAUGAAAAUGUACCUUUUGUUAUUUUGUAGUUGUUUUUAUUUCAAGAUUACACAGAAAGAAA
Long non-coding RNA from Numida meleagris (helmeted guineafowl), 3527 nucleotides. RefSeq lists it as uncharacterized. The record is from RefSeq and is a predicted model, not a curated record. The transcript has 6 exons. NCBI's taxonomy places the organism in Eukaryota, Metazoa, Chordata, Aves, Galliformes, Numididae.